CCUACGGGGGGCAGCAGUGGGGAAUAUUGGGCAAUGGGCGCAAGCCUGACCCAGCAACGCCGCGUGAAGGAAGAAGGCUUUCGGGUUGUAAACUUCUUUUCUGAGGGACGAAGAAAGUGACGGUACUUCAGGAAUAAGCCACGGCUAACUACGUGCCAGCAGCCGCGGUAAUACGUAGGUGGCAAGCGUUAUCCGGAUUUAUUGGGUGUAAAGGGCGUGUAGGCGGGAAAGCAAGUCAGAUGUGAAAACUCAGGGCUCAACCCUGGGCCUGCAUUUGAAACUGUUUUUCUUGAGUUCUGGGGAGGCAAUCGGAAUGCCGUGUGUAGCGGUGAAAUGCGUAGAUAUACGGAGGAACACCAGUGGCGAAGGCGGAUUGCUGGACAGUAACUGACGCUGAGGCGCGAAAGCGUGGGGAGCAAACAGGAUUAGAUACCCCAGUAGUC
Molecule: ribosomal RNA, 443 nt
Filed under: uncultured bacterium
Lineage: Bacteria
Description: partial 16S ribosomal RNA
Rfam family: Bacterial small subunit ribosomal RNA
Source: RNAcentral